CUGUUAAAAAGGGGUGGCCAAGGUAAAUGCAGAUGAACCGCUUCUAAUAGUCCAUUGACUUGGACAAUAUCUAAUUUAUGAUCUGAUCUCAAAUCAGGUAGGACUACCCGCUGAAC
Molecule: ribosomal RNA, 116 nt
Filed under: Thanatephorus cucumeris
Lineage: Eukaryota; Fungi; Basidiomycota; Agaricomycetes; Cantharellales; Ceratobasidiaceae
Description: partial 28S ribosomal RNA
Source: RNAcentral